This 116-nucleotide ribosomal RNA is filed under the name Paramormyrops kingsleyae. The record is from RNAcentral. Lineage: Eukaryota; Metazoa; Chordata; Actinopteri; Osteoglossiformes; Mormyridae.
UCUUGGAGCUAUACCACCUGCCCUCCAGAUUAGGUGAUCUAUCAGAAGCUGAGCAGGUUUGGGCCUGGUCAGUACUUGGAUGGGCGAUCAUCUAGGAAAGGGGGCUGCUGCUGGAU